Molecule: ribosomal RNA, 364 nt
Filed under: uncultured eukaryote
Lineage: Eukaryota
Description: partial 18S ribosomal RNA
Rfam family: Eukaryotic small subunit ribosomal RNA
Source: RNAcentral
CAAAAGCGUAUAUUAAAGUUGUUGCAGUUAAAAAGCUCGUAGUUGAACCUUGGGCUUGGCUGGCCGGUCCAUCUUUUUUGAUGCGUACUGGACCCAGCCGAGCCUUUCCUUCUGGCUGGCCUUUUGGCGAACCAGGACUUUUACUUUGAAAAAAUUAGAGUGUUCAAAGCAGGCCUUUGCUCGAAUAUAUUAGCAUGGAAUAAUAGAAUAGGACGUUAUGGUUCUAUUUUGUUGGUUUCUAGGACCAUCGUAAUGAUUAAUAGGGACGGUCGGGGGUAUCAGUAUUCAGUUGUCAGAGGUGAAAUUCUUGGAUUUACUGAAGACUAACUACUGCGAAAGCAUUUACCAAGGACGUUUUCAUUAA